CCCUUAGAUGUUCUGGGCCGCACGCGCGCUACACUGAUGCAUUCAACGAGUCUAAAACCUGCUCUGAUAGGGGUGGGUAAUCUUUUGAAUGUGCAUCGUGAUUGGGAUAGAUGAUUGCAAUUUUUCAUCUUCAACGAGGAAUGCCUAGUAAACGCAAGUCAUCAGCUUGCAUUGAUUACGUCCCUGCCCUUUGUACACACCGCCCGUCGCUCCUACCGAUUGAAUGAUCCGAUGAAUAUCAUAGACUGAGAGUAUAAGCAGGUUCGCCUGUCUUUGCUUCUCGGGAAGUGAAGUAAAUCUUAUCAUUUAGGGGAAGGAGAAGUCGUAACA
Molecule: ribosomal RNA, 330 nt
Filed under: uncultured eukaryote
Lineage: Eukaryota
Description: partial 18S ribosomal RNA
Rfam family: Eukaryotic small subunit ribosomal RNA
Source: RNAcentral